Long non-coding RNA from Mytilus trossulus (common blue mussel), 439 nucleotides. RefSeq lists it as uncharacterized. The transcript has 3 exons. The record is from RefSeq and is a predicted model, not a curated record. Lineage: Eukaryota; Metazoa; Mollusca; Bivalvia; Mytilida; Mytilidae.
AUAAUAUUUAAAUUUCACGACUAUUGUCUUUUGUAUGGAAUAACAAUCGGACUUCCCGUCCAAUAGCACUGGAGCACAAGACCAUAACAAACCCCAUAUCAGAUUUCAGAUACAAUAUACUAUUUUCAACUCUACCCGUUUGCCAUUUAAACCACAUAUGCACAUUCAUGCAAGGAAUUAACUAGUUAAUUCAAGUUUUAAUGUUCUUAUUAAUUUCCAUGUAACAAAAUGGAAUUAAAAAUUUCAUUAAUUUUCGGAUUCAUUGGUUUACAGAUUCUCCAGCCGUCUUCUUCUCAUUCGCAUAGUGGUAGUCUUGGGGACAUCGCAUUUAGCUGCCCGGCAGGUCAAUAUUUUAACGGAGGAAACUGUUAUGCUGCAGUGAGUGUACCAAUGACAUGGAGUGAUGCCAAAAGAACGUGCAAAAGGUAAGUCCAGAAUU